GGUGAGCAUGCGCGUUGGUUGACGGGCGGGCACGUGGACGGUGGAAUUUACAAGUUCAGUUCAAUGACAUAUGAUGUAGUCAAGGUGCGCUCGUAACUAGUCUAUCAAGCAGUGGGAAGAACAAUUCCACAACGCACUGAACCACCACAAGAUGUUAUGCUGCACCAUGUAUACGAGUAAUACAACUACGUGAUACUCUCGUGUGAUGAACUAAUUGACAACAUUUGAUGUCUUGUUACAUUGCUGAUGAAAUUGAUGCUAAUGGACAUGUAGACUUGCCAUAGCUUGUUAGAGACACUUUAUACACAAUCUUGCUGCAUGUGUGUGUGUGUGUGUGUGUGUGUGUGUGUGUG
Corticium candelabrum is the source of this 353-nucleotide long non-coding RNA. RefSeq lists it as uncharacterized. NCBI's taxonomy places the organism in Eukaryota, Metazoa, Porifera, Homoscleromorpha, Homosclerophorida, Plakinidae. The transcript has 4 exons. The record is from RefSeq and is a predicted model, not a curated record.